GACGAACGCUGGCGGCGCGCCUAACACAUGCAAGUCGAACGAGCGAGAGAGAGCUUGCUUUCUCGAGCGAGUGGCGAACGGGUGAGUAACGCGUGAGGAACCUGCCUCAAAGAGGGGGACAACAGUUGGAAACGACUGCUAAUACCGCAUAAGCCCACGGGUCGGCAUCGACCAGAGGGAAAAGGAGCAAUCCGCUUUGAGAUGGCCUCGCGUCCGAUUAGCUAGUUGGUGAGGUAACGGCCCACCAAGGCGACGAUCGGUAGCCGGACUGAGAGGUUGAACGGCCACAUUGGGACUGAGACACGGCCCAGACUCCUACGGGAGGCAGCAGUGGGGAAUAUUGCACAAUGGGGGGAACCCUGAUGCAGCGACGCCGCGUGGAGGAAGAAGGUCUUCGGAUUGUAAACUCCUGUUGUUGAGGAAGAUAAUGACGGUAC
This 437-nucleotide ribosomal RNA is filed under the name uncultured bacterium. RNAcentral describes it as "bacterial SSU rRNA". It matches the Rfam family "Bacterial small subunit ribosomal RNA", at positions 28 to 478 of the family's 1533-position model. The record is from RNAcentral.